Molecule: long non-coding RNA, 3659 nt
Organism: Columba livia (rock pigeon)
Lineage: Eukaryota; Metazoa; Chordata; Aves; Columbiformes; Columbidae
Exons: 5
Source: RefSeq, a predicted model, not a curated record
GGAACUCUGACUAAGAGCCAGGCAUAGGAGUCAGGAUGUUUUGUCACUCUGGACAAAUCAAAUUUGCUUGUAUUCCAAAAAACAGAGCAAAUAAUUCCAGCUUAUUCAAGGUUCUCUGAAUCUAACUGGUCAGGAACCCCUGGCAGGAAAACAUUAAAUGUACCUUAAUGAGGAUAAUGAUUGAACAGCUCUUUAUUUCAGUGGAUUUAAGCACGGUCUCUCCUAACAAGGAUCAGUACUGUGAAUCACAACUUGGGCACUACAUUUUGGUCUGGAAGGAUGCUGGUUGCAACAUUUUAAAAAGAGGGGCAGAUGCUCAACACAUAUUGAACAUCAGACCUCUUUCAGGUGUCUCCAACUGACAGAGCAAAAGGUUGAAGUUCACAAUGUUGUUCCUAAAUUUUCUGGCUCUGACAUACGCAAGCACAUGUUUAAGCCUCAGUUUGUGACUUGGUCUGCCCAGGCAGACCUUUCUGUUCCUGAGAACUACUGGUUCAUUUGGCUGUAUGAAGGGGGGAGGCUGCCAGCAAGGAGGAGAAUCAGCCUUCACCUAAGUUGAAGAUGUAAACUACCAUCACCUUCAAGGACACGAUUCCAUGAAGUAAUUCCAGUUCUAUGGAAUAGAAGGCUGUCCUGGGAGGAAGGCUUGCAGGUAGAUGAGGCUUGACUCAGUCCCUGCUGGUUACUCAUGAAUUAUCCAGAUUACUUCCCAGCAGUAGCAGCACUUUGCUACAUCUUCUCUUCUCUGAUACACUGAGAAAAAGCACCUCAUAUUAUUCCAGAGCUUUCAGACAACAGGAUAAGCACUGCUGAUCAGCCAGAAGAGAACUGUAUGAAAAAGCCUCCAGUGAGGUAUGAGGAUUUUCACCAUUUUCACCAAGAAAUAAAAUUGUGUAGUAAGAUGGCAGUAUAAAACUGUACAUUUUUUAUAAUUCAAACACACUUUUUUUUUUUUUUUAAAGUAUGUUUUAAUCCUGGAUGUAAAAUCUGCCCUAUUAGAUGAAUUAUUAUUAUGUAUAUAUGCCUCCAGCUUUUAACUGUUACAGCUGCAGCCAGUGUUCUUUACGGUUUUUGCUUUAUCAUGAAAUAUAAAUAUUAGUUUUUAAAAUAUGAUUUUAACAGCUUUUAUUUAAAUAAAGUCAUAACAUUUUGGUAAGACAUUUCCAAAAACCUUCCUGUUAACUCUGGAAACACUCUUUACUGUUGGAUUGGAUACACCCGAUGCUCAUGAACUUCAUAUAAAAAUAGGUAACUUAGAGGAUCAUAAAGACUGGUAAGCUUCUUCCUUUCUAUUGGGGACAAAAAUCCAAGUCAGAAUGUCAUUUGCUCAGUACUUUGUAUUUUCACUAAAGUUGAUGGGAAUUGUAUUUACUGUCUAGAAUUGAUUUGAUUUAAACAUCUAUUCAACUCUCGAUUCUCUGUUUUGGAGCUGGGAUCAUUAUGCAAGCAGAGAAUCAGACCCAUCAUUUUUGAGGAGAGGAAAGGAAAAUAUUUUCUACAUUUCCUUUUCACUUUUAUUCACUACAUUAAACUGGCUUUGCCACUUACCAAGCAAGAGGUUCAUUGCCCCUCUCUGUAUUUCCACUCCCUUUCUGCCCUCCCAGUCCAUCUGGCUUAGUUCCUCUGUGUCUUUUUCUUCCCAUCCUCAGUUACUGUGUUGUCAGUAAAACCAGUUUUGAAGUAAAAACCUCACACUCCACAAGACUAUUCAUAUAUAUAGUAUUCUGACUUUUUGAGCACAUGACUUGCUACAUCUCCCUAUACUGAACUCUUACUAAAGCCUUCUGUUUCCUUGUCCGUAAGCCAGUUUUAAAGCUUACAAUAUUUGUACAGUCCUCUUUCUCUCUGUUUUUUAAGUUUUCUGAGAGCUUCAUGACACCAGCCAUCAUACAGAGUUUUACAAGAGGGAAAAGACCCCACAAGGUCAUCCUUCCUUCUCACUUGGCUUUUCUGCUAUGCCUAAUGGAAACCUCUGUGCUUGGGACUGCACCUACUCUUCUGCAGGGGUUUGCAUCAGAAGGAAAAGUGUUUAUUUUAGUGGACCUUAGGUUGUGCCCCAAUAUUCAUGCAGGGGAAAAAAUCAUCUCCCAUCACAGAGCAGAAUGGACUGAAGAGGGAGCUGGGUCCUUGUCCCCUUCUCUUUGCAUAAUUUCCUUGUGACAGAGUGGGAAGAGGACUGGGAAGAGCAGGAGGUGGAAGGCAGAAGUUCCUACAAUCACCCCACAGACAAGGAGUCUGAAGACUUCAUACUGAAGCACAAAAAGUGGAGUUCAUUUUAACCUCCCUAAUAAGAAAGAAAAAUUAAAUGAUACUUCAAGAACAGCGUGACAACUAUCAGUAAACAGUUAAAACUUCUGUGUGGAAGAAACCAGGUUACAUCAAGUUACCAAAUGUUUUCUAUAACAAUGUAUUCCUCUCCUGUGGACAAUUAGGAAGACUGUUCUGCAUUGGAGGACUAGUGUUGACAGCCCAGAGCAAUGGACAUUUCACUGAAAAAGUUGCUACUCUCUUCCUCCUGAGAUCCAAUAAAGUUUUUAUGCAUUGAGUUUUGCCUUAUUUCACUUCCACUGUGAUGUUAAGUACAGAAUGGUGAUAUUUAUUUAUGCUACACUGUUUGCAUGAAUACGUAACUAUAAACAGGUACUUUCUUUUUCAAUGGAAACCAUGUAACUGAUGUUUUCCAGUGACCACUCUCACUGAUUUUAAAUGAUGUACCAAGUGACUUUUAAACAGGGACUUGAGCAAUAAUUACAUGGCAUAGCACCAACUUUUAAUUCCACGUAAGGUAAUCUACAAUGCUCAAGCAAAUAAAUCCUCAUUUGCCAAAGGAAUGCUAAUAGUGCCUUACCAGACUGUAAAAACACUAAGUCAAGUUUUUCCAGCUUGUUCCCCAAUGGAUGUCUAUUUGUGAAAAUCAUUCUCACCACAGAGCAACUCUUCGUCUUCCAUAUUCUACACAUCUACUGUCCUCAGUGACAAUUGUGUGUGAUCUCAUUUUCAAGUCCAAGUAAAAAGGCUUUAUUGUUAAAAAAAUAAAAUAAUCCAGUGACCUAGAUGCUGUGCUAUACUUUUUAGAGACCUUGGAACUAACCCGAGGAAUAUCUCUGCUAGAGAGAGUCCUGGAAGUCAAAUUUACCAGCCCACUUGUGUAGGAUAAGCUGCCAUCACAAAUCCGGAGUCCACAAGAAUUUAAUCUCAUCUAUGAACUAGACUGAUCAGUCAAAGCUAUCAAAGGUCAAAACUAAAUCAGAUCAUUAAUUAUUACUGAUUUGCAGUGUAAGAAAUUGGAAGAUCCCUAAAUCAUUGUCCCACCUGAAUUCUGAAGCCCAUAGGAGGGUGCUUUCAUUUUAAAGUUGGUUUUGCUACUCCGAAAUCCUUCAAAUUAUCAGUUCUAAACUGCUGAGCAACAUCCUUCAUUUUCCAAUGAGAGAAACUAAGAUGAAUUGGAACUGACAUGUUGGAAGGGAAGGAGCAAGAGAAAGGGAGGAAGGGAAGCUGGUUGAUUUUUUCAUACUACUUUAGCAAAAAUUGUGUGUUAAUUUGGCUCAGAACAAAAAGUGCAAUAAGAGGAAAACAAGGGGGGGUGGGGUGGAAGAGACAAUAAAUACUGUGUAAAUGAAUAGAUUUUACAUUAAUAAAAUGAAAAAAGAAUGGAGCAA